GACGAACGCUGGCGGCGUGCCUAACACAUGCAAGUCGAACGAGAAUUUCGUAACGGAAGUCUUCGGACAGAAGUUAUGAAAGGACAGUGGCGGACGGGCGAGUAACGCGUGAGUAACCUGCCCAUAAGAGCGGGAUAGCCCAUGGAAACGUGGAGUAAUACCGCAUGAGGUAUAGUAUUCGCAUGGAUACAGUAUUAAAGAUUUAUCGCUUAUGGAUGGACUCGCGUCAGAUUAGCUGGUUGGAGAGGUAACGGCUCACCAAGGCGACGAUCUGUAGCCGAACUGAGAGGUUGAACGGCCGCAUUGGGACUGAGACACGGCCCAG
Molecule: ribosomal RNA, 325 nt
Filed under: uncultured bacterium
Lineage: Bacteria
Description: bacterial SSU rRNA
Rfam family: Bacterial small subunit ribosomal RNA
Source: RNAcentral